GACGAACGCGGCGGCGUGCCUAAUACAUGCAAGUAGAACGCUGAAGCUUGGUGCUUGCACCGAGCGGAUGAGUUGCGAACGGGUGAGUAACGCGUAGGUAACCUGCCUGGUAGCGGGGGAUAACUAUUGGAAACGAUAGCUAAUACCGCAUAAAAUGGAUUAUCGCAUGAUAAUUCAUUGAAAGGUGCAAAUGCAUCACUACCAGAUGGACCUGCGUUGUAUUAGCUAGUUGGUGGGGUAACGGCUCACCAAGGCGACGAUACAUAGCCGACCUGAGAGGGUGAUCGGCCACACUGGGACUGAGACACGGCCCAGACUCCUACGGGAGGCAGCAGUAGGGAAUCUUCGGCAAUGGACGGAAGUCUGACCGAGCAACGCCGCGUGAGUGAAGAAGGUUUUCGGAUCGUAAAGCUCUGUUGUAAGAGAAAGAAACGAGUGUGAGAAGUGGAAAAGUUCAC
Molecule: ribosomal RNA, 458 nt
Filed under: Streptococcus sp. oral taxon 070
Lineage: Bacteria; Bacillati; Bacillota; Bacilli; Lactobacillales; Streptococcaceae
Description: bacterial SSU rRNA
Rfam family: Bacterial small subunit ribosomal RNA
Source: RNAcentral